GAUGAACGCUAGCGACAGGCUUAACACAUGCAAGUCGAGGGGCAGCACAGGUAGCAAUACCGGGUGGCGACCGGCGCACGGGUGAGUAACGCGUAUGCAACUUACCUAUCAGAGGGGGAUAACCCGGCGAAAGUCGGACUAAUACCGCCUGAAGCAGGGGUCCCGCAUGGGGCUAUUUGCUAAAGAUUCAUCGCUGAUAGAUAGACAUGCGUUCCAUUAGGCAGUUGGCGGGGUAACGGCCCACCAAACCGACGAUGGAUAGGGGUUCUGCGAGGAAGGUCCCCCACAUGGGUACUGAGACACGGACCAAACUCCUACGGGAGGCAGCAGGGAGGAAUAUUGGUCAAUGGGCGUAAGCCUGAACCAGCCAAGUCGCGUGAGGGAUGAAGGUUCUAUGGAUCGUAAACCUCUUUUAUAAGGGAAUAAAGUGCGGGACGUGUCCUGUUUUGUAUGUACCUUAUGAAUAAGGAUCGGCUAACUCCGUGCCAGCAGCCGCCGUAA
This 501-nucleotide ribosomal RNA is filed under the name uncultured bacterium. RNAcentral describes it as "partial 16S ribosomal RNA". It matches the Rfam family "Bacterial small subunit ribosomal RNA", at positions 28 to 523 of the family's 1533-position model. The record is from RNAcentral.